AGACCCGAAACCCGGUGAUCUAGCCAUGGGCAGGUUGAAGGUUGGGUAACACUAACUGGAGGACCGAACCGACUAAUGUUGAAAAAUUAGCGGAUGACCUGUGGCUGGGGGUGAAAGGCCAAUCAAACCGGGAGAUAGCUGGUUCUCCCCGAAAGCUAUUUAGGUAGCGCCUCGUGAAUUCAUCUCCGGGGGUAGAGCACUGUUUCGGCUAGGGGGCCAUCCCGGCUUACCAACCCGAUGCAAACUGCGAAUACCGGAGAAUGUUAUCACGGGAGACACACGGCGGGUGCUAACGUCCGUCGUGAAGAGGGAAACAACCCAGACCGCCAGCUAAGGUCCCAAAGUCAUGGUUAAGUGGGAAACGAUGUGGGAAGGCCCAGACAGCCAGGAUGUUGGCUUAGAAGCAGCCAUCAUUUAAAGAAAGCGUAAUAGCUCACUGGUCGAGUCGGCCUGCGCGGAAGAUGUAACGGGGCUAAACCAUGCACCGAAGCUGCGGCAGCGAACGUAUCACUUAAAGCGAUUCAGCGGGUUACGAUUGACGGAGCGAAGCGACGUCAAAGCGUAUACAAAGUCGAGUCGGUUUAAGGAUACGUUCGUUGGGUAGGGGAGCGUUCUGUAAGCCUGUGAAGGUGUGUCGUGAGGCAUGCUGGAGGUAUCAGAAGUGCGAAUGCUGACAUAAGUAACGAUAAAGCGGGUGAAAAGCCCGCUCGCCGGAAGACCAAGGGUUCCUGUCCAACGUUAAUCGGGGCAGGGUGAGUCGACCCCUAAGGCGAGGCCGAAAGGCGUAGUCGAUGGGAAACGGGUUAAUAUUCCCGUACUUGGUGUUACUGCGAAGGGGGGACGGAGAAGGCUAUGUUGGCCGGGCGACGGUUGUCCCGGUUUAAGCGUGUAGGCUGGUUUUCCAGGCAAAUCCGGAAAAUCAAGGCUGAGGCGU
This 934-nucleotide ribosomal RNA is filed under the name Salmonella enterica subsp. enterica serovar Infantis. RNAcentral's name for it is "partial 23S ribosomal RNA". It matches the Rfam family "Bacterial large subunit ribosomal RNA", at positions 711 to 1564 of the family's 2925-position model. The record is from RNAcentral. Lineage: Bacteria; Pseudomonadati; Pseudomonadota; Gammaproteobacteria; Enterobacterales; Enterobacteriaceae.